CCGAUGUUAAACCGACUCUCGGUGUGUUUGCUGACGUCGGUGGGAUUAACGGACGCCGCUCAAGCGUUAUAUGAAUCGACUCUGACAUCUUAAACUUAACAAGAUUCACACCUGGGAGCAGCUCAGUGUAACCGCCGCUCCGUUUUAAGAUGAAGUAGCCGUCUCUGCUGAAGGGCGACAGCAGUGAGCUGGACAGUGAAACCUGGAGAUAAAGAUGCUGAAGGAUUCAGUUACAAGACAGAAGACCGAGGUGACUGAGCUCCUCAAAGGCCUCUACAAACAGUCCCGCUACUUGACAAAGCCUGGAGAGAGCUCAAAGCACUAAGUGGGAUCCUCCAGCAGAAGAUCUGGAAGCAAACCAAUCUGGGGGGAACAAGAUCUUCCAGUGCAGACGUGAUCAGCAGAACCAAGCAGUUAGUCCAGAUCUUGAAGGACCACAGCUGCCUCCUGUAUGUGGUCCUGGUCCAGGAUAUCCUGAAAAUUUUGAGCUGGUCAUUUUUUGUGUGUUUUUUUCUCUGUAUUGUUUUGACUGAUUAGUUCAGUGUUACUAAGUCUAAUAGUGACAUUGAUAUUCUUUGCGGUCUAAGUCUGAAGCUUAGACUAAGUCUGAAGGACAGUGUUACACUCCCCAACACCUUACAGGUCUUUGAGAUCGCACGGCUCAUGCUCAUGAGCAUGCUCUCAACAACUAGAGAGAGCCUUGAAGACUUUCUUCAAGACUCCGCAGAGAGCCAUUUCCAUGCAGUGCAGCUCCAGAGCUUUAGCCAGGAGAGCAGGGAUAGCUACGACAGGUCGCAAAUGAAAAGGGAAAAAUAAGAACAUUAGUUGUAGUUGUGUUAUAAUUCAGUUAUCCUGUUGUUCAUAAAAGGGCUCACUCAAUCCUGUUCACUGAGUGACAUGUCUUAAUUGCACAUUGUCACUGCCUUUGAAAGAAACAAUUUAAAAUUUAAUUUUAUGUUGAUAGUUUGAAGAGCCAGCUCCUUAAUGCAGUCAUCAAAAUGGUGAGGAACCGUUUCAACAACCUGGAGAGUAACAAGAUUCUUCAGGCGUCUGCAAUGUUGGUGGACCUGAGGGAGUGGAGGAUGCAGACCUGGCCAGUUACAGAGCACACCAUCUCCAUCUCAUCACAGAAACACUUUACUGUUGUAUCGUGUUUAUUGGGACUAUGUACAGUAUUAAACAUAAAUGUUAACAUUUGAUGUACAGCAGUCCCUUACAAUUAAAACAUAUAACAGCACAUUGAAAAACAGUACAAAGCAAAAAACACACAGGGCACAUUAUAUAAAAUACAAAGCUACAUACAAUAGCAUAUCACAUACAAUACUGACGUACUGGACAGGGUGGGCUAUGACAGGUCAAGCAAGGCACCAGAAGUGGCCAAGCGCAAAAGUGUUGAUCAAAGCGCUGCCCCAGGUCCAACAAAGCAAUGUAUGGGCAGACUUUCUAACAGACUCUGAAAGGCUGCAGAGCUUCCACAACCUGCUGAUGGUGGUUGAGCUGAUCCUCGUGCUCCUACUAUCCACCGCUGCCUGUGAGUGCUGCUUCAGUGCCAUGAAGUGCAUUAAAAUGGAUUGUCGGAGCAACCUUUCAGUUGAAAUGCUGUGGAAACUGCUAUACAUUAGCAUUGAGGGGCCAGCAUUUGCCACUUUCAGUGCUGAGUGUGUUGUACAAAGACAGCUGUCAGCAGGGCAAACAGCAUGGAGCAUGUUAGGGGUAAUUAAGAUUUGUAUUUGUAUGGUUUCAUUAGUUUUUUAGAUGCGAAGAAUCUGCUGUUUAGCCUGUACUUUCACUCCCUCACUCACUCACUCACUCACUCAUAGUUAACGAGUCCAUCUCUUGGGAGGAAGAGGGGAUGGGAUGGGUCCAUUUUCGAUAUGCAUUGAUGUUCGUUGUUUCGCAUGUAUAACACUCUGUGUCCUUGUUCAGUUUCAUUUACUUAAAUAAAGAUUAAACAUGACAGUUAA
Long non-coding RNA from Thunnus maccoyii (southern bluefin tuna), 1964 nucleotides. RefSeq lists it as uncharacterized. The transcript has 4 exons. NCBI's taxonomy places the organism in Eukaryota, Metazoa, Chordata, Actinopteri, Scombriformes, Scombridae. The record is from RefSeq and is a predicted model, not a curated record.